AGGACUUUGACAAACUCUAACUGCAAACCUUUGACUGUAAGUGUCACAGAAUCAUGAUAAUAUAUACCAUCAAAUGUAAGGAUCUUAGAUUCUAUGGGACUGAAUUUGGAUACACGAUCUUCAUCAAGCAUCAUUGCUUUCCAGGUUUCAAGCAUUUUGCUGGAAGUAAGCCACUGAAAUUGUUGAAAGCCACAUCAACAAUUUGAAGCAUAUCCCAAAAAUCACUGGUACGAGGACAUGCAAUGUGACCAUGAAAUUUGUUUCUCCUCAAAACAAGGACGCGGAGUCUGGAUAUUAUAUUUAAGAAGAAUGGAAAUCCAUCAUCUACCUCAUUGUUUCCAAGAUCCAACACCUCUAAUGAUGUGCAAUGUGCAAUAGAUUUGGGAAUUGGGCCUUGCAAUUGAUUGCUAUUCAGAUCCAGAGUUUUUAGAGCACAAGGUACUGGAAAUUUAUCUGGAAUGCUGCCUUUAAACUUGUUAUGUUUAAGAUUUAAUACCACAAGUGUCUCACUCUGAGUCAAGCACCCUGGAAUUAUCCCAUCGAAGUUAUUAUAAGAAACAUCCAGAACUAGCAGACUUGAACUAUUGCACAGGAAUUGAGGAAUACUCCCGGAUAAGUUAUUUUUGGACAGAGACAAGAAAAUUAUGCGAUACAUACGACUACCAACAUCUGAUGAAAUAAAAUUGAAAUUGUUGCUUGAAUAGUCCAAAUAAGUGACUUUCACUGGAAAUAUUUGUAGCUUCCCUUGGAGUUUGUUAGCAUGAAGGUCAAUGAGGCUCAGAUAGGAACUAGUGUUCUGCACAGAUCCUUCUAAACUGGUGAGCAAAUUGUGAGAAAGAUUUAAUUGAGCAAGAGAGUCAAGUUGCCAGAUCCAUGUUGGUAUAGAUCCUUGAAUAUGGUUGCUUGAGAGGUCUAAAGUGGUUAUUUNNNNNNNNNNNNNNNNNNNNNNNNNNNNNNNNNNNNNNNNNNNNNNNNNNNNNNNNNNNNNNNNNNNNNNNNNNNNNNNNNNNNNNNNNNNNNNNNNNNNCAGGUAGCAGGAAGCCAACUCUAAACUGCUCAUAUUGUGUAAGGAAGAUACAAAGCCUACAUCUGUAAGAUUUGUGUCUACUGACAAGUUGUUGUGUGAAAGAGCCAGUUUAUUUAGUUUUGGAAGUCUCUGAAUCACAUCUAGCUUUAUUGUGCCAUUUAACUUGUUGAAUGACAAUUGGAGGACAAUAAGAGACGUGAGAUUAAAAAUAGAUGCAGGAAUGGGGCCUUCUAAAUUAUUACUUCUUAAAUCAAGACUCUCUAACAUGGAGGAGGAGAUAUUUGAAAAUUCAUCAAGCUGUCCACUAAAAUGGUUGUUGGAAAGAUCAAUCCUUUGCACCGAUGGAAGUGCAAAAAGAGAAGAAGGAAUGUUUCCAUCAAGUAAAUUGUCCUGUAAAUCAAUUUGGACCAGCUUUCUUAGGCCUUCAAAGUGAGCACAAGUAAUGGAACCUGUGAAAUAAUUGUUUGAGAAGUCUAAAUGCGUGAGGUUCCUGAACAUAUUCAAGGACGGAAUUGGACCAGUGAAGUUAUUAAACGACAAAAGCAGAGAAGUGAGUUCCUUGAGUCCUGACAUUGAACUGGGUAGUGUUCCGUUAAAAUGACAAUUAGAAAGAUCUAGGAUGGAUAACUGCUUAAGAUUACCUAUAGAAGUUGGUAAUGCUCCUGAUAACCUUGUGUGACUCACAAUUAAUUUCUGAAGGGAACCAUUCAGAGGUAAUCCAGGCAAAGAUCCAUUAAGAUAAUCGUUAUAUGAUAAGUCUAUGUCAGACAAUGUUGUCACCUGAAAGAUCUUCUCUGGAAAUAUUCCUGUCAAUCCACAAGAACUAAGGUGGAGGGUUACUAAAUUNNNNNNNNNNNNNNNNNNNNNNNNNNNNNNNNNNNNNNNNNNNNNNNNNNNNNNNNNNNNNNNNNNNNNNNNNNNNNNNNNNNNNNNNNNNNNNNNNNNNNNNNNNNNNNNNNNNNNNNNNNNNNNNNNNNNNNNNNNNNNNNNNNNNNNNNNNNNNNNNNNNNNNNNNNNNNNNNNNNNNNNNNNNNNNNNNNNNNNNNNNNNNNNNNNNNNNNNNNNNNNNNNNNNNNNNNNNNNNNNNNNNNNNNNNNNNNNNNNNNNNNNNNNNNNNNNNNNNNNNNNNNNNNNNNNNNNNNNNNNNNNNNNNNNNNNNNNNNNNNNNNNNNNNNNNNNNNNNNNNNNNNNNNNNNNNNNNNNNNNNNNNNNNNNNNNNNNNNNNNNNNNNNNNNNNNNNNNNNNNNNNNNNNNNNNNNNNNNNNNNNNNNNNNNNNNNNNNNNNNNNNNNNNNNNNNNNNNNAGUAUCCGGAGCCUUUGCAGGUUGAAAAGAGUACUUGAGUUGUCAAAUCCACCAUUGAUUGAUUCUCCAUUCAGGUCAAGGCCAAUAACAUGUCCCUCCUUAUCACAGGUUACACCUGUCCACUUACAGCAAUCUAUGCUUGAAUUCCAGAAUACAAGUUUGUGAGAUUUUUCUUGCUCGAAUUUGAGGCUGUUCUUCAGUUUUAGCAAUGAUUGUUGUUGAUCCUCAACAAUUUGACCAGAAACCCCGGUGAAAUAAACAGUGUGAUGCAUCCAAAAGCAGUAACAUAAUAUGAUGAAAAGGAAAGGAACAUUGGAAAUUCUCAUUGGAGUUCAGUGAGAAAGACACACAAUGAACCCAAAAACACAGACCGAAGAAGCAAACAGGCUAAUGAUGGCUUAUGGACCCUUCUUUUUCCAGUGUUUAUCUUUCAAUGCAAUUUGCCAAAGAAUAUAUAUAUAAGUAUAAUUAAACCUAAUGUUAGAGUGUUUGACAUGUUCCAACGAAGAGUGAGAGGAAAAGUUGAUUGAGAAAGUGUAAGAUGGGUGAAGCUAAAUUCAAAGUAAAUCACGUCUUCCUAAGGUACCACUUUUCUUUCUUUCUUUCUUUCUUUUUUUCUCACUCUGUUUCUAAUUUUCUUGUAAUUAAUUAUCCAACCAGAAAACAAAGAAAAACAACGUUGCCAUUAUUGCAUUCACUUUCCUAGACAUUUCUUGUCUGAAGACUUUUUCUUGGUCACUUAGCUUGUAAAAUGGACCUCCCACUAUUGGCAAGUUUAUAUGUAGAGCUGUAGCAAAAAAGUUAUAUAAAGAGAUAUCAUGAAAUCAUUUUAAAAUUCACUACAUUGCACUAGUUUUUCAUGUGUAUAUUGGGUUGUUGAAUUUUAUUUUUUGUGAUAUGUUAAAAAUAAUAGAUAAAAUUGUGUUAGCUACGUAUUUCAUCAGUUUUUUUAAUUGGAGAAUUGAGCAUCGAAACUUUAAAUUUCAAAUUGAAUUCCCAGUAGUUCCUGGUUAAGAAUCCAAAUGAAUUGAUAUAGGUUAAAGCUUUAUAAAACUUAAAUUUUCUUAUUUUUAAACUGAAAUUAAAGUUCCAUUAUGAUGCAUUUAUUUGAUAAAACUAUUUUAGUUUAAAAUACGUUUUUUUUUUAUCUUACCACAUUUUUAGUUUAUGUUCUAUACUAAUAUCUUGGAACUUAAAGCACUCAAAUAUAUGUUUUAUACGUUACCGUUCAAAGCCUAUUUAGAGAAAAAUGUUACCUGCUAAUUUUUAGUUAUUUUUUAUAUUUUUGUACAAUCAAAUUGUUUUAACCAUUAUCAUUUUAAUAGUGAUACUUUUAUCAACUAUCUUGGAAUUAAUAUCUCACAAUUUGGAUGAAAUAGAGUAUGACUAUGUAAAUUUUGGAAAGCAGUAGCUAUUAACCAACCCUGAAAGUUAAAAGAACAUCAAUAGUCAAUCUUGCUAAGUGGAUUCUUAGUAUAAGUAUCUCGUGGGAUAGAAAAGAAAAGAAAAACUUAAGUUAUCGCAAGAGUACUACAUUAAGAAGGUGUUGCAUAGAUUUUGGAUGGAAAAUGUUAAAGUCUUAAGCACUUCUCUUAGAAUUCUUCUUAAAUUGAGUAUUAAAAAGAUUCAUUCAAAAUGAAGUUGAGAAGAGAAAUAUGAAUAAAGUUUCUUAUGCAUAUGCACUUAAGAGUUAACAAUUUGAUGUAUGUCAUUAUAUGUAUAAGAUUAUAUAUUACAUAUAUUUUUUUACAAUCACUACAAAAAAUAAUUAAAUAGCAACUAAACUUAGAGACAAAAAAUAAUUAAACACUAUAUUGACUAAAUAUAAUAUAUAUUAUUUUAGUGACUAAAAAAUUAUUAGUAUCUAAAAUGGUUUCUAUUAUUAAUAUAAAAAAUUAUAAAAUAAUUUCUAAAUUGAUAUCUAAAUUAGUUACUAAGAUUUUAGAUUCUAAAUUAGUCUCUAAAAUUAUAAUGGAGAUAAUUUAGAGUAUAAAGUAGUUUGUAUUUAAAAUCUUAGUAGCUGAAUGUUAAAUACCAAUUUUGAAACUAAUUACAAAUUUUAUUAGUAAUAGAAAUUACUUUAGAUAUCGAUAUUUUUUAGUUUAUAAAAUAGUCUCUGAUUUAGUCGAUUCACUAUCUAAUUAUUUUGAUAUGUAAAAUUAGUUUUAUUUAAUGAUUUUUUUUUAGUAAAUUAGUUUAUUUUUGUUGAAUCAUGGUAUACAGUAUUGGAAUGUUAUAAAUCAUAUACUUGAAUAGUAAAAUAGUUCGUCUCCACCAAUGUACGUUGAAUAACAUAUAUAAAUCUUGAUUAUAAUUUUUAUAUAAUUAAUGUGAAUUAAGUGUGUAUUUAGAUAUGUAAUUUUUAGUUAAGUUGUCUUUUUUAAUUAAAAUUAAAUAAAUUGGUAUUUUUAAUAAUGUUCUUCGACUAUAAAAUUCUCAAAUUCUCAUUUUUGUAAUCAAAACCUUCAACAUUCAUAAUCAAAAUGAAAUUACUUUAAACAUUCUUUUAAUCUCGGCUAAUUUACUAACCACAAUAUCAAUUUUUACCAAAUUCUCACUUUUCUUUUAUUUUUAAAAUCUUGGAAUUAUUGAAAUCUCAAAUCCAAUUUACACCCUUAAAUAUUAGGAUAAAAUAAGAACUUGAUAAUUUUUUAUAGAAAAAAAUUGAUAUAUAAAAGACUAAAUUUGCUUAAAAUUAGAAAUAGAUAGCUGGCUUAAAAAAAAGACUUCAAGGAGCGAAACUACACAUUAUUCAAAGGAAAAACAUUAAAAUUGUAAUUAAACCUGUAUAUAAAUAAUCUCUUUUAUAUUAAUUUUAUUCAAUUUUUUUUUAUAAUCUAAUAAUAAAUUAUUUAUGACGUAUUUUAUUGAUUUUUGUAACGAUUAUUUUUAAUAUAAAAUAUAUAAUCUUAUAAAAAAAUUAUGUUACUUUUAUAUUCGUUUCAGCUUUUGCAGAUAAAAAGAAAAUAAUUUUUAGGCUUAGAUUUUGUAAUAAAGGCUAUGAUUAACAGCCUCAUAAAGAAAAGAAAGUAGAAUUGUUUGAGGUUGGUUUUUAUGAGAUUAAGAAGUCCUACAAGUUUUGGUAAGGUUUUUUCUUUUUCAUAUUAAUUUUUGAAAACUAAAUGAUAUUUAUUUUUAAAAUUUUUUCAAUCAAUUUCAAGUAUUUCAAAGUUUUUAUUCCACGUUUUUUUUUAAAAUAGUAGUUACUAAAUACUUUGUCGCACUACAAGAAAAACAUGAAAUAAAAAGCAAUUUUAGAGACAAAAAAUAAUUAGUUGUUAUAGUAACUAAAUUAGACACCACUUUAGAAACUAAAAAAAAAAUGAUUUCUAAAUUUGUUUCUAGUAUUGUUAAAUGGUUUCUAAAAUAGUAUCUAAUUAACUACCAAGGUUUUAACUACCAAUUAUGUAGUUUCUAAAUUUGGUAGCAAAAACAUUGGUUGUUAAUUAAAUACCAAUUUAGAAACCAUUUAACCAUAAUAGAAACUAAUUCGGAAACCAAAAAAAAUUUAGUCUCUAAAAUAGUCUUUAAUUUAGUCACUAUAACAAUUAAUUAUUUUUUAUCUUUAAAAAUUGGCUUCUAUUUUAUUAUUUUCUUGUAGUGUCAGGUCAUAUAACAAACUAGAUAGAUCUAUUAUAAACUCUAUUAGUAAGGUGUCGAACUAGCACUUAAUAAAGUGCUUUAUUUACUUAUUCCUAAUAGAUGAGUUACAUAAGAACUUGUAUAUUACUCAUAUUCUAUAAUUGUUGAUAUAAUUAUAAAUGGGUUAACUUUGAUAAAGAAGAUAAUAUCUUAACUUCUUAUAACUUAACAUAUCCAUAUACUUGAUCAUCUUGCUCAUAUCUAAAAGUACAAACAUAAUAAAUACUUAUCUAACUUGAAAAAGAACAUGAAACUCACAACUUAAAUCUUAAUAACAACUUCUUAUAUCAUUACCAGUUAAUCUUGCUCAUAUCAUAUAACAUAAUAAACAUUUAUUUUUUCGAAAAACUCAUAUCCACCAUAUCUUCUAUUGAUGAAAUAUCAAGAAUCUCUGUUUAAUAAAGUCUCUAUAAACACUAAAUUAAUGAGUCAUCUUUUUGAAAAACUCAUGAUUGGUUAUAAUUAACGAAUAUCAAUAUAAUCUAAUUUUUAAUGAAGUUUUAUGAUUGAUAACAUUCACUAGUGAAUUGUAAAACUAAUUUUAUAUUUGUUUAGUGAAGUCUUACCAUUGAUAUUGUUAACUAGUGGAUAUUAAAAACGAUUUUAUAUUUGUUUAGUAAAGCUUUAUGGUUUAUAGGGUUAACUAGUGAAUCACAAAAUCAAUCUUAUAUUUGUUUAGUAAAAUCUUAUGAUUUAUUUAUAACAUUCAUCAAUGCAUCAAUAGAUCGGACAAACAAUCUUAUAUUUAUUUAGUGAAGAAAAUUGAUAGCGUUCAUGAGUGGUGAUUUUAUAUUUGUAUAGUGAAACCUAUAAAAUUGUGUAAGGAUAAAAGUGAUACAAAUAAGAUAAAGUAUAAAUAUUUUAUUAUUAAAGUGUAAAGCUUAUAAAUAAUAAAAGUUAAUUAUUCAAAUUUUAUUUAAAAAGAAACAUCAUCCUUCUCUACCUUCUUUCUAAAAAAUCUGACAAAUUUGUUAAUCCUUUUGAAGAUUGGAGCUUGUCAUAAGAAUCUUGUUCGAGAAUAAAACAAGUUUAUCCGAUCAUAAUAUUCUUUUGAGUAAGUUCCUCUUCACCCUUGUUUUUUGUCAGUUUUAAGAAAAUUCUACUUGUUUGAAGAGGGGAUUGUUUGCAUGUGAUGUUCCUAGAGCUAGGUGAGUCUCUAUUAGUCUAGGAUUAUAGACAUAUGUUUGCAUCAUUGAUCAAGACUUUCUAUCUACAUGUUUAUCUUUUCUAUGAGUCUUGUGGAGAUAGAGACAUUGGUUAUGUGUUGAGCAACUAAAGAGGUAAAAGAAGUUAGUUUGGUUUUCAAUAACACCUUAAAGUGGAUAAUCUAGAUUUGAAAGUGACGUGAUAUCCUCUUUUUAAACUUUUGCAAGAAUUUGUGUGAUGAUUGAAUUGUGUUUAGAAUUAAAUGUUAUAAUUAGAUUUAAGAUUUCAAUAAUUCUAAGAUUUUAGAAAAAAAAAAGUGAGAAUUUAGUAAAAAAUGAUAGUGUGGUUAGUAAAUUAACUUUGAGAUUGAAAGAAUGUUUAAAGUACUUUGAUUCGAUUAUCAAGGUUUUUAUUACAAAAUGAAAAUUUAAGGAUUUUAUAGUUUGAAAAAAAUUAUUAAGAAAUCCAACUUAUUUAAUUUUAAUUAAAAUAAAUAAAUUAAUUAACUAUUCAUGUGUAUUGCUGACGAAAUAUUUUACUAUUCAAAUGUGAGCUUCUCCUUAAAAAGAAUUUUCUGCUUUUAAUUAUCUUGAAAAGGUUAAAAAAUGUGUUAGUGGAAAAAAUCAUUGGAAACGAAAAUAAUUAUUUUUCUGUAAACUGUUGCCAAAUAGUUAUCGAUCAAUUAAUUGUUGGCUAUUGAUUAAAAAAACCAUUAACUCGAAACAAAUUACUACUAUACCAAUUAAAGAAUGUUCCUAUAAAAUUAGCCUUCAAAAAAAUAAGUGGACUUCCCUUUCUUUAUGCACUCCCACCAAACUUUAAAAAAAUAUUAAAAAUAUUCAAUUUGAAUUUUAUAAAUCUAAAUACAAAUUUGCACUUUGGAUUAAUUUAGAAUAGAAAUUUAUAUUUUGAAUACAAUCUAAAAUACAAAUUUUUGAAUUUUGAAUAAACAAUCAGAGUACAAAUUUGUAUUUCACAGUGAAAGUGAAAUUCAAAAUACAAUGCAAUAUGAAAUAUUGUAUUCUUGAUUGGACAAUAUAGUAUACAAUUAUACUUAUAUAAAUUUUGUAUUUAAAAAAAAAAUACGAAUUUUUAUUUUUGGAUCCUAUAAUCAGAGAAGUUUUCAGAUUUUACAUUCUACAAUUAAAAAAAAUUAAAGGAUAAUUUAAGUUUUUUUUUUAAAGUAUGAGGGUGAAGGAAGAAAUGCAUUGAGGUGAAAAGGUUAAUGCAAUGUUAAUUUAUGAUCUUGAGUGCAUGAUUCUUGUAGAAAAGUUCCAAGAAAAUGUAUUCAAGAAUGCAAAGUUCUCAUGUAACACCCCGGAAAAUACAUCUAACUAUUACAAUACCGGUUCUACAUAUUUCCGUACAAGCUUACAGUUUUUCAAAACAUUCCUAAUAUGUGAUUAGGACAUAUGGAAAUACAAAUAUUUACAAUAUAAGUUUCAAAAUCAACGCCUUAAAACUCUUCUGAUCCUCAGACACCUGUAAGAUCAUCUGCUCGUGUACGUAGUACAGUCAUCGCAGUUCAAACACAGCAAGAAAAGCAAGGGUAAGCUAGUGAAAAUAGAAUUUUAUAAUAUACGCAAUUAAAUCAAAAGAGAAAACCAAGUUACAUGAUCAGUUUCUCAAAUUAUACAAUCUUCUUCAAAUCCCAACAUUAAAACAAUCACAUAGAUCUCACAUGGAUCUACACAUCCAAGGUAUUCAACAAACAACGUCUUCUGGAAGACCCAUAUUAAGUAAGUCCUACCAGAGACUAACACCUGAUCCAAAGAUUACCAGCGAAUCUAACAGAAAGGAUCAGGGUAAGUUCAAUACAACCCAAGCCGUGCAUCUCAUAUGUCAUGGUGUGCAUGAACUCCCCCAUCAGCUUCUCACCACCUGAUAUCUUAGUCUAUGUGACUUAGAUCAUCAGUGAAGCUCGGAGAUCUUUGUUACCACAUAGACAUCAAUACUUAAUACACAGCAAACAUCAAUCCAUACAUUAUCCCGACAUCAAUACUUAAUACACAACAAACAUCAGUCCAUACAUUAUCCCAAAUGUAUGAAUUCAAUUUCAUACCAUUUCGUCAUACAAUAUCAUUCAAAAAGUUAUCCACAAUAUUCAAAAGUUUAUUUGACAUAAAAAAAAUACACUUUAAUACUAAAUCAUCAAAACCCAAUAUUUCCACAAAUUUAAAUAAUAUAUAAACAAACAACCCAAUAUAAAUAAACACACAACAUCCCUGCAAGAGAAAUUGAAUAUUGGGACCAUGUCCCUUCCGCAUUCAGAUCUUCUAUCCUAGGGUGCUAUUAAAAAUUAAAUUUAGCUUCCCUUACCUCAAUUGCUUGCUUUUCAAGCAACUUUUAGAAUUUUAUUCCCCACCGUUUGGAUAAGCUUCAAGAUUUACGGGCCUAAUGCAAAUUAUCCAAACAGAACAAAAAUUUAGUAUAUAAUAGAAUAAGUUGAGAGGAUUAAACUUCUCAACUGACCCCACCAAGAUUGAUGAUUAAAUCCUAAGGAAAAACAGAGAACAAAGGAUAUUUAGAGUAAAAAUGAACUUACUCUGUUUAAAAAUCUGAUCGGGUAGAAAUGUUCCUUAAUUCCUCUGCUACAGCGUGGUAUGAUCAGAUUCUAAAAUAGAUGAAGUUUGGGAGAGAAAAUUAGGAGAGAGGGAGAGAAGAGAAUAUGGAGAGAGAGAGAAAGAAGAAAAAUGGUACUGUGGUGGUGGGAAGAAUGUUUCUGUUGCUUUUAAAAAAAGCACGCUGUUACAUCUCACUCAUCAUGCAACUCUUGAUGUUGAAGGUCAUGAAGUGACAGGGGAUUCUACCUCCAAAAAAUUUUCCGACGCUCAAAUUAGUAAUAGCAUAAAAAUAUAUAAGUGUAGUUUGUAUAGAGAGAAUAUGAAUCGAAAUACUUUUUGGGACCUUCGCGUAUUUAUAGAGUUUUUGGUGGACCUUAUCACAUUUAUCUUUCUGUAUCAGUUAUUUCAGCAUAAUAUCAUGUAAAGAAAAAAGAAAAACAUUACGGAAUUGAGUAACAAGAUUUUAUCAAUUAAUAUAUCUUUUAAAAAGUUAGUUGUGGAUCUUUUAAUAGAAUCAAGGUUUAAAAGUGUUAUGAUUCUGCGAAUAUAAUGGAGAUAAAAUGAUUUUUUAGAUAUCACCAAGAUUGUAGCCUUAUUUUUUUGUUGUCUUUAUCUUGUCACGUGCUACCACCCUUUGGUCUGGGUCUUUAUCCGAUACAAGGGCGGGUUAAAUCCGAGUUUCCUUUUCACAGAGAUUUUUUGUGUGUGUAUGGGUAGUCAUGGUCUUUCCCACAUUCAGACAAGGUCUAGGAUGACACAAUUAUAUUUUAAAAAAUUAAAAACAUAAUGUAUGAAUUGAGAGAGAUUAAUAAAGGAAUAUCUAAAUUGUUAUGGAUUUAUGAUAGUUGGUAAGGUACCAUGAUAAAUGAAAUGAAAGUAAAGACAAAUUGUUUUAUUAUAAGUGAAAAUCCUAAUGAUUAUCAAUAUAAUAACAAAGUUGGUAUGGAAAAAAUAAGAAGCAAUGCAAAAAAAAGUGAAAUGAUAAUUUAGGGCAAAUUAAAGUUCUCUCCAAAGCCUAAGUUUAUAGCCUCUGUCACUUCUUUCUCUCCUGGUACCCUAACUUUCUCCUUACAAAUCCAUGCACACUGUGUUCUAUUACUGCUAACUAGACAAAUAGUUUGACGAUGACAAUGAAAUAUUGGAUUUCACAAUUAAGAAUUCCCAAGAAUAUACAAAUAAGAAGAGUAUCUCUACAUCCAGGGCCCAUUAAAUCUCUUAAGAAAGCUAUUAUUAAAGGCACAUUGGGGUCACAAUUAGCUGAGUUGAAAGUGUAAGUAUAGAAGAAUCCUUUUUAAGUUAUAUAACCUUUUUAUACUAUUAAAAAAUAUCGAUAUAAUAUAAAUUACAAACAUUCAUCUACUUGUUAAGAUAUGCUUCACAUUAUUGUUAAACAUUAUUUCUUUACUAAUAAAUAGGAUUGGGUGUGUGUCCAAUCAUUAAUAGAAAAAUGAUAAAUAAUAACGUAAUUUCAAAAAUUGUAUUCAUAUAAGUAACUAAAUCACUGAUAUUUUUUUUUUCAAAAGUCAUGGUUUAGUAAUCAAAAUUUCAAUAAAAAAAACAAAGUAAAUAAUUUAAUAUUAUUUAAAAAAAGAUAAAAUAAUUGUAUUUUGUAUAAGACCGUAUCUGUUAUCAAUUGAUCAACUGCUACUUGUCACUCAAUCACUCUUCCUUUACUUUUCUUCUCAUAUUCGUUCCUUAGUACUCAGUCGAAAGUGGUACCACAAAAGGUUUUCCGACGAUCAAGUAAGUGUUUUGUAUUAUAGUGAGUAAUAUAUUGAUAAAAGUGUACCUUAUUCGUGUAUAAUCAUGUUUAUUUAUAAUUUUUGUAAUGAGAUAUCUCGUUUAUGGGUUAUAUCUUUGCUAAAAUGACAUUAUCAGAUUUUUCAUGGAUCUCCUUAUUUUACCUUGGUGCAUUAAUUUUAUGCGGUCGAGCAGCCUCGAAUAUCGAGUGAUGUGGUUCACUCGAUUCCGGUCGCAUAGAAUUAAUACUCCAAGGUAUUGACCGAAUCAAACUUGGAUAUUAAAUUUCACAUGAGGUGAAAGUAUUUCCGCAACAAGGGUUCUCUCACCUCAAAUUCUCCUUUAACUUGGUCAGGUACUAAUUGAGAAUCGCUUUUGCAUAGUACUUGUGAGCUCCCAUGUCAUUUACUAGUGUAAGCCUAGCCAUUAUGGUUUCAUAUUCGACCUAGUUAUUUGAAGCUUUGAAGUCAAACUUCAAAGAUUGUUCCAAGAGUAUACCAUCAGGGCUUUUUAGGACAACUCCUGCUCCACAUGAUAUUACAUUGGAUGAUUCAUCCACGUGUAGUGUCCAACAUAAGUCUGCUCCACAUGAUAUUACAUUGGAUGAUUCAUCCACGUGUAGUGUCCAACAUAAGUCUUCACCCUUGGUAGGUUUAGGACUUAAUUCUGGUGUGAAAUCAUCUAAACUUUGCAACUUGAUUGCCCCAUUCGAUUGGUACUGGAUUUCGAACUCUGAUAAUUCAACUGGCCCAUCCUAUCAUUCGCUCGGCUAAAUCUGGCUUAGCCAAGAUUUUCAUAUAGGAUAAUCGAAUUUCACAAUUAUCUUUUGAUUCUGGAAUUACAUUCUCAUUCGUCGGGAAGUGAUCUCGAUUGCUAAAGCAACUUUUUCUAUCAUUUGAUAUCUAACCUCAACACCAUGUAGUAUUCAGAUGAUAAAGUAUGUCGAUCGUUCCUCUUUUUUCACCUUUUAGACUAACACUGCACUUAUGCCUUCAUCUAAUACCGAUAGGUAUACGAUGAUUGAUCGUUGACGGUCUUGAUUUUGUAUAAUCGGUGGUGUUGUUAUAAAAGCGGUGGUGUUGUUAGCAAAGCUUUCAAUUGAAGGAAAAUUUCUUCACACUCGGGAUUCCAAUUGAAUUUUUCAACCUUUCUUAAGAGUUGGACGAUUGGUUUGGUUUUCUCUAUAGUCUUGGAACAAAUCUUGACAAAGUUUUCAACCGCCCAAUCAACUUCUGUAUUUCUUUGGUGUUUUUAGGGCUUCACAUUUCAAUGGUUGCCCUACAUUUCUCUGAGUUUGCCUCAAUGUCAUAGUGUGUUAGCAUGAAUCCCAAUAAUUUACCCCCUUCUACUCAAAUGCACAUUUGUCGGGAUUUAACUGCAUUUCAUGCUUUCUUACUGCUUUAAAAACUUCUCAUAAAUCUUUUACAUGUUGUAUGCAUGAAUUAGAUUUAACCACAAUGUCGUUGACAUAUACCUCAACAUUCCGACCGAGCAUUCCUUUAAAGAUUUGAUCCAUUAGCCUUUGGUAAGUGGCUUCAAAAAUUUUCAAACCGAACGACAUUACCUCAUAGUAGAAGUUAGCACAGUCGGUCAUGAAAGAUGUUUUAUCUUUAUCUCUUUGAAACGUUCUGAUACAAACCAUCUUGACAAAUAGAUAACUAAGGACACAAUAGACACUUCACAAUUAAGUCAGUCAUCUUAGUAUCCAAGAUAAGGCCCCACCAAACUUCAGAAAGACCUCAGCAGAAGAAGAACUAGACAUAGGCCAGAGCAUCAUAUGUUCUUUCUUAUGGUCUUUUUAAAUGACAAGUUUAUGUAAAUAAAUUGGCUCACUUUGGGUAUUCAAAUAGAAGAAUAAACUAGAUUAGGGUGUACUUAGUAUAAAUUGAGCUUGUGCCAAAGCCCACCUUAACCUAGCUCCUAGAAACACACCCAUGUGCUCACCUUUGACCUAUAUUCUAGAAGACUCCCCCAUGUGCUCACAUUUGACCUAGUUUCUAGAAGCUUGUAAUCAUUUACGCCCCUACCCUUCCUCUCUUCCUCUCCAAAGCACUCAUCUCUAUAAAUAGGGUGCUUCCCCUCUUGUAAAUUAGACAUUGAAAUUGAUUAUAGAAAAAAAAAACUUUGGGUGAGUGUUUAGUGAGUUUGAGUACUCUAGUAUUUUGGGGUCUUACCUUGAGUAAAUCAUACUUCAAGUGGUGGAUCGACACCACUCAUCUUAGAGUUUUCCACCCUCCAAGUGGUGUGACACCAUCUCCAUCUUCAUAAGCUUUCAUUCUCUUCAUCUUUUCCCUUUUAUUCCUUUUGCUUUUUUUCAUUCCAUUUGUUUAAUUCCUCUUCUUUUCAUUUGGUCAUUUCCAUCUUAUGUUAUUUUAAUUUCGCAAUCAUCAUCAUCUUCACCUUAUAAUUGUGUUUUCUUUUUUUCCUCUAAAAGUGAGCCUUCACACUUACUUAACCACUUGGUUAAGUUUAUGUCUAGUGGGAAUCUUCUUUGAGUUUCUCACCAUAUUCUGCUAAUCCAAAAUUUAUAAACAAAAGUGUCACCUUAAAAUGUGUAAUCCUAAAAUCAACUCACUUCGCAUUCGGAUUUGAUUGUACUCGAAAUACGCAUCUAGGAAACUCAACACUCGGUGAUCGGCUGCACCAUCUACAAAGCUAUCUAUGUUCGGUACGAGAUAGGCAUCCUUAGGGCAAGCUUUGUUCAAGUCUAUAUAAUCUCUGUGCAUUCUCCAUUUCCCAUUGACCUUUUUCACUAUUACUACAUUGGCUAACCAAGUGGUAUACUGCACUUCUUUGACGAACCCUAUUUCCAACAGCUUGUCAAUUUUGUUCUUUGCAGCAUUAUUCUUUUCUUCACCCAUUUUUUUUAAUUUGGGCGAUAGGUCGAGCUUCUUUAUAUACCAAUAACUGGUGUGUAAUGAUGUCAGGGCUUACCCGUGGCAUAUCAAACACAGUCCAAGUAAAAAAAUCAGCAUUUUGAAUUAGUGUUUGGCUUACCAUGACACCAUCGACGAUCGUUAAUGAUUUUCUCAUAUUUUUUGAGUGUUAUAAAGGUAUCAGACGUAGGUCCUCUCCAGAUUCGAUAUGGACAUCAUCAUUAUGGGGUCUAGGUCAACUAGGGCAACCAUGUGUUCCUUUUUGGGAGCCCUAGGCUCUUAGGACCAUUCUCUCCUCUUACGACCCUAUGGAGUGUUAUCUUCGCCCUAAACUCUAAAGCCUAAAUCUUAAACUCUGAACCAAGAACGCUCCCUAGAUGGUUCUCGGGGUUGUGAUUUAUUAGUAGGUUUGACCCUUAGGCUGGCCACAUAGCAUUCUCGUGCCACCUUUUGGUCUACGUGGAUUGUGACUAUAGCGAGAUAUGGAGUUGACACUAUUGCUCAGAGUACGUUGAGAGAAGGCCUUUCAAGCAAGAUAUUAUAGGAAGUGUUGGCUUUGACUCUCAAAUACCUUAUCUUGAUAGUUUAGCUUAGAUGUUUCUCUUUGCCAAACAUGGUGUAUAGAUCAAUAUACCCCUGAGUGUCCACUCGUUCUCCAGAAAAUCCGACAAUCUAAUCAUCAUAUGGUUGGAUUUCGAUCUCUGGGAUCCUCAUUUUUUUAAAAAUGAUGGACUAUGCCUUCAUCCGUUUGCAAUUUCUUUGGUGGAGUGGCGGAAGCAUCAAUGAAGGAAGAUGAACAAGGAGCUCACGUAGAGCUUGUGAAGGCUAAGUAUGGAGAGUGAUAGGUGAGGCCCAAUCUCUUGAUCUAGUGGAAAUUUGAAGACUAAGUGUCUAUCCUAAAGAGGUAUAGACAAGAGUGAGAUUGGCUGAAUAUUUUGGCAGCAAUUCACUCAUUCAUUAAUCUUGAAAAUACAUGAACCAAGCAACUAAAUUUAUAGAAGAGAGGGUUGAACAUUUUGGAGCCAAAAUUUGAAAAUUCAAAAUAAAACUCUCCAAUGAGAAGGUGUCAUUUGGAGUCAUGCUUUCCAUGUUUAGCUCACACCUUCCAUGCUAAAUCCUCUCCACUCCUAUGUUGUCAUGUGGACGUCUAUGUGCUCCAUGCAAAGGUAUUUUCGUUCUCCAAUAUACCCUAGAUGUUUUAGGGUUACAUUGGGCUCAAAGAAGCCCAAUUGUUAUCCUAAUUAGUCAUAUUUUACUAUUGGCCCAAAUACAAGCCCAAAAUCUUAUACUACUUGGCCCAAAUAUUUGUUCCAAUUAUUUUAUGCAACUAGGUCCAAUACAUAGCCCAUGAAAUCCUAAACAACUUUAUACAAUUUAUUUAAGCUAAAGCUUGGCCCAAAAAUAAUGUUGACUAGUCAACAGAAACUUAGUCUUCUUGUGUUCUUCUGACCAAAGCUCUAGUUUAUGUUUUGAUGACUUGGAGGGCUUCUUGGAUAUGUUUGUACAUUCAUUCACCCUAGAGUUGUCGUCUUAAUUGGGCCUACAAAAAUAAACAAAAAGCCCACUUAGACUCGUAUUUGCAAUUAAAUCAAUAAACAACCUCUAAGUCUUCAUCCACCUUAUUAUGGGGUUGUGUGUGGCUGGACGGUUUCCAUCAAAAAGUCUUCCAAUAAAGGAUAUCCAUUGAACAUCCUUGAUCCACAAGCAUCUUUGUAAUUGAAAAAUUAUCUACUUUCACUGUAAUGACCAUAGGAUCAUCUUAUGUUGGAUCGAUCACUUUAAAAUCAUCGUUUGCAAAGAGUAUUGGGGGCAUCCUUGGUCGGGCUAUAGCCGAAGUUGAGUUUACUAACUUAAUAGCCCGAAGAUGCUUCUUUCGGGCGGAGCUUGAACAUCCUUUGCAUGAAAAAUCACCAGUGAUUGUGUUAAUCAUUUCUCUGCCACUACGACGUGAAUGUUCAUCUCUUCUUGAGGGUUCACUCGUUUGUGGUUGAUCCUCUAGUCGUCGGUCAUCAUCGUGAUGCCAUCGAGGAUAAUAUUCUUUUCGUUCAUCCCUUUUGGGAUAUUUUUCUCUCCGCUGAGGAGAUCUAUUCGAGUUUUUGUUAUUGAGCUGUACAAAUUUACGCAAGUGCCUGGCUUGAAUGAGCUCUUCAAUUUUAUCCUUUAGUGUUUGACACUCUAAUGACUUUCUACGGCAAGUGCACCGCGUUGUCAAGUCUCCAAGGACGAAUUUUGAAUCCACAAGGAACAGUUGAAUAUUCAAGUAAAAGAUUCGUUAAAUAUAAAACUAAAUAAUAAAAGUUUGUUGGAAUUUGUUGUGAUGGCAAUUAUUAACAAGAAAACAAGGCAAAUAGUUGUUACUUCAAUUGGAAAAAUAGGGAUUGAGUUUCAUCUUUCUCACUCUUUUGUAUUUUAAUUAAUCAUGAUAAUAUGGUGUCCUAUGAUUGAUAUUAAUGUCCAUAUAAAAAUCAUUUAUACUGAUUCCUUGCAUAUAAAAUUAUUAAGAUGUUUCUCAAAUAUCAAUUUCUCGCAUAUUUAUAAAAACAACUUAGAAUCAAGACCAGAUGUUGAUAGCAAUUAAUAUUUCAAGUCAAUUCAUAACACUCAAAUAUGUUAAGUAUUAUUGUUUAGGUCAUAACCAUAAAAAAUACUUUCCAGUUAGAUUUAAGAUUCUAGAUCAAGAAUUAGAAGCAAAACAAUAAUAUCAAUAAUUAAUCAAGAACGGAAUAUUAUAUUCAAAUAUAGUUAUUCUAUAAAUAAUAAAUUCAAAACAUAUAGUUAUUCCAAUUACUUAAUUGAUUACUAAUCAAUAAUAAUAAUAUAUAUAUAUAUAUGUGGAUGUAUGAUAUUAUGAUAAAAAAAACUAUAAUGAUGAGGAUUAGUAUGUUGAACUAUGCUCUCAAUAACAUUUACAAUGCUAAUAAAAGGAAAGGUCCAAGUGAUGAUUAGGCCAUCCUCCAAAGUCAUUAUCAAAUUUGUUUUUGGUGAUAUUAAAGCAAAAGAUAUGAUAUGUUCAAGUGGUGAAAGUUUUUUUUCAUUAUUUAGUUUGUUAUAUUGGAAAGUUUGAGUGUGUUGAUAACGACAUGACAAAUAAAAUGGUGCUUUGCUUGAAUUGAAUGGUAGAUUGAAGUAGGGUUAUUAGCUUAUGUUUUGAAGGGAGUGUCAAAGAGAUAGAAACCUUGAUACCUACAAUUCUCUCUUCAAGAUAGACUAAUUAAGAUUAGUAGUAAGGUUGAUAAUGAAAUUGUCACUCAUUGUUUAUAUUGCCUACUUUGUUAUUUGUAUCGUUAUACAAAGAGGAUGCAUAAUUUGCUAACUUUUUUUAUAUUAUCUUUUAAUUAUAUAAUUUUGUUCUUUAAUAAAUAAAAAAUAAUUUAUUUAAUAAAAUAAAUAGUUGAAUAACUUUUUUUUUAUUUCAAAAUAACUAAAUAAAUUUUCUUUUUAAAAUAACAUAUACAUAAUUUUUUAAUACUAUUUUUACAAAAUUAUAUAUACAUAUGUAUACUAAAUUUUAUUGAUUUUCUAUUUUUUUUAGUUAAUUGUUUAUAAAAAUUAUAAAAUUAGAAAAAGUUUAAAUACACAUGCAAGAAAGCACAUCUGUUUUCGUUAAUAUUGAAUAAUACAAAUAAUUUAUUUACUUGUCUUUUUAUUAUUUUAGGCUGAAUAAAUUCUGUUUCACUCUUCAUUGCAGAGAGAGAAACUCAGACUAAACAUAAAUCAAAUGUGGUUUAAUUUUGUUUAGUUUUAAUUUAAUAUAAAAUUCAAAUAAAGUGAAUGUUUUGUAGUUUGAUUCGAAUUCACUUUUGUACUUUUUUAUUAUUAUUAUUAAAUUAUUAAAUAUUACAAACAAUUGUAAAAUAUUUCUAAUGAAAAUUUAUCAAACAAAAAGAUAUUGUGAAUUUUUUUAUAUCAUUAUUCUUAUAAUAUUUUAACUUUCUUUUAUAUUCAUAAAUAAAUUAUAGUUAAAAUUUUGCUAUAAUAUUUUGAUAAGAAUAUUAAGAAUAAUAAGUACAUCCUAAAGCAACAUUUAAAAUGCAUAUCCAUAUUCGUUUGUUAAUAAUUAAUUAAUUUUAAAUAUAGAACAUUAUGCUUAAAUAUUAUAAACCUUUUUGUUCAAUUUUUACCUUUUAAUUCGAAUCAAGACCAAACAGUUUAGUUAACAAAAAAAUAGAUAAAAAUCUUAAAAAAAAAUAUUUUAAUCAAUUUUUUUAUGGUUUCGGUUUAGAACUUACUAAAAUUUUAUUGGUAAUUUCAAUAUUUUUUUUGAGUUAGUAAAAUCAAUAAAUCUUUAUAAAACUUUAAGUAAAAAUUCUAAAGAAAAAAUGACUUGUUGAAAUAGUUUGAUUCUCAGUGGUAUAGUAAGAAAAGGGGCUAAAACAAUGACGGAGAUGAAUGAUAUUGUUGGGUGUGAGUCUUGUGAUCUCCUAUUGUAAACAGAGACCAAACAUCCAUAAAAUUGAACUACCUAAACUCUCUGAUCUUGAAAUCUAACCACCACUCUUCCUAUAUCCAUACUUUUAUUUGCGUAUUUUAAUGAACUCUGUAAUUUUUUAGCCUUUUAUUGCGUCUCAAGUGUUUGAUGAAAACCCUGAGCGAGAGCACUGUGCAUUGGCAUAGAAUACCCACAAAAACUACCUCAAAAGAGAGGGACAUGCUUUCUCUCAUUGUAUUUUGCCACCCUUGGGUUCAAUUUCUAUGUGCAGGUGCAUACAUAAUAGAACAAAGAAUAAAGGGAACAAUCGGAGUGGUAGGCAGGUACAUACAUGUAUCUAAUCUGAACAAAGAAUAAAGGGAAAACAAAAGGAACAGAUGUGCAUGUUUUCAUCAUUAGUGUGAAUGAGAAGAAUAUGAAUCUGGAUAAGUUGAUGUUGAAAUGGGAGGUGAUGGGAAACAUGUACACCUUGGAUCAUGAAUUACCUUCUUGUUACUGAUAUGAAGCUUGGAACACAAGACACAGUACCUCCCUCGAAACCUUUGAUGGACCAAGUUAUCUUGUAUCUCAUUGUAAUCACAAUACUCUUCCAUAUCUGAGUUAUUUUUCUUAGUCUCUUCCUCUGUAUCUUCGUCAUCGUCAUCAUGAAUAGGUAUCCAAGUCAAACCAAGCAUUGGAAGAAUAACUAGGAGAGCUUUAUCGAUUAUAUGGUUGCUCCAUUUUUUCAGGCUCUCCAAAAACAAUGAUGGAGCCACGACCAUUCCUGCUCCAACCCCAAAACCAACUCCAAUUGAUACAAAAGUCCAGUCAAAUUUAGCACCAGAAUCUGUAUGUACUUCAGAUUUUGAAUUGCGCUGAUCAGGACACAUAUUCAAAGGAAUUCCACAUAAGUCUGCAUUACCAACAUAGGAAGAUGCGUCAAAUGUUUGAAUUUGCCUACCUACAGGGAUUUUUCCCACCAGACGGUUAAAGGAAAGGUUCAGGUAUGAGAGGAAAUUUAAACGUUCAAAUUGUGUGGGAAUUUCACCACCAAGAUUGUUGCUUGACAGGUCCAAUGACUCAAGCUGUUUUAAAUUCCCUAUAGAUGAAGGGAUUUGGCCUGUUAAACCAUUGUGAGACAAGUUGAGAGCAUAAAGUCUAGUAAAAUCCAUGAGCUCUUCAGGUAUUGUUCCUUCAAAAUUGUUGGAUGAGAAGUCAACAGAUGUGACGAGAUUCAGGACUUUGACAAACUCUAACUGCAAACCUUUGACUGUAAGUGUCACAGAAUCAUGAUAAUAUAUACCAUCAAAUGUAAGGAUCUUAGAUUCUAUGGGACUGAAUUUGGAUACACGAUCUUCAUCAAGCAUCAUUGCUUUCCAGGUUUUCAAGCAUUUUGCUGGAAGUAAGCCACUGAAAUUGUUGAAAGCCACAUCAACAAUUUGAAGCAUAUCCCAAAAAUCACUGGUACGAGGACAUGCAAUGUGACC
This 20193-nucleotide long non-coding RNA is filed under the name Phaseolus vulgaris (common bean). RNAcentral describes it as "long non-coding RNA (PVUL_LNC001478)". Lineage: Eukaryota; Viridiplantae; Streptophyta; Magnoliopsida; Fabales; Fabaceae. The record is from RNAcentral.